CUAGCGACUUCAGAGUUUGAUCCUGGCUCAGGACGAACGCUGGCGGCGCGCCUAACACAUGCAAGUCGAACGGAGAAAAGACAGCUUGCUGGAUUUUCUUAGUGGCGGACGGGUGAGUAACACGUGAGCAACCUGCCCCUCAGAGAGGGAUAACGUUUGGAAACGAACGCUAAUACCUCAUAACACUUUUGGUCGGCAUCGACCUUAAGUCAAAGAUUUAUCGCUGAGGGAUGGGCUCGCGUCCGAUUAGGUAGUUGGUGAGAUAACAGCCCACCAAGCCGACGAUCGGUAGCCGGACUGAGAGGUUGAACGGCCACAUUGGGACUGAGACACGGCCCAG
RNAcentral lists this ribosomal RNA (340 nucleotides) under uncultured bacterium. RNAcentral's name for it is "bacterial SSU rRNA". It matches the Rfam family "Bacterial small subunit ribosomal RNA", at positions 1 to 334 of the family's 1533-position model. The record is from RNAcentral.